AACUUUUAGCAACGGAUCACUUGGCUCUCGCAUCGAUGAAGAACGCAGCGAAAUGUGAUAAGUAAUGUGAAUUGCAGAAUUCAGUGAAUCAUCGAAUCUCUGAACGCACCUUGCGCCCUUUGGCUAUUCUGAAGGGCAUGCCUGUUUGAGUAUCAUGAACUCCUCAACUCCUCAUGGUUUGCCGUGAUGAGCUUGGACUUUGGGGGUCUUGCUGGCCUAUGGUUGGCUCCUCUCAAAUGGAUCAGCUUGCCAGUGUUUGGUGGCAUCACGGGUGUGAUAAAUAUCUACGCUUGUGGUUUCCACCAUAUAGCCUUCAGCGAUGAAGGUUCUCUGGAGCUCACAAAUGUCCCUCCUCAGCGAGGACAGCUUUUUGAACAUUUGAUCUCAAAUCAGGUAGGAUUACCCGCUGAACUUAAGCAUAUCAAUAAGCGGAGGCU
Molecule: unclassified non-coding RNA, 437 nt
Filed under: uncultured Tomentella
Lineage: Eukaryota; Fungi; Basidiomycota; Agaricomycetes; Thelephorales; Thelephoraceae
Description: sequence contains ITS2
Rfam family: 5.8S ribosomal RNA (bases 1-155)
Source: RNAcentral